This 275-nucleotide ribosomal RNA is filed under the name uncultured bacterium. Its description in RNAcentral is "partial 16S ribosomal RNA". It matches the Rfam family "Bacterial small subunit ribosomal RNA", at positions 79 to 353 of the family's 1533-position model. The record is from RNAcentral.
CUAAGUUUGAUGGCGACCGGCGCACGGGUGAGUAACACGUAUCCAACCUGCCGAUGACUCGGGGAUAGCCUUUCGAAAGAAAGAUUAAUACCCGAUGGCAUAGUUCUUCCGCAUGGAGGAACUAUUAAAGAAUUUCGGUCAUCGAUGGGGAUGCGUUCCAUUAGGUUGUUGGCGGGGUAACGGCCCACCAAGCCUUCGAUGGAUAGGGGUUCUGAGAGGAAGGUCCCCCACAUUGGAACUGAGACACGGUCCAAACUCCUACGGGAGGCAGCAUG